UGGUAUGGAAACUCAUCUAUUUAUGGCUCUAGCUACCCUUAAUCUUGUACAAUGACAAGCCUUUCUAACCGGUAGCUUGGUUGACCGAUUGCCAACUUCUACUCUUAAGAGAUUUUUCCCAAGGUUUCAAGGAGAAAACUUUGACAGAAACAAGAUCUUAUAUCUGAAAGUAAAGAAGAUGGCUGAGAAGCAUGGAUGUACCACUGCACAACUUGCACUUGCCUGGGUUCUUCAUCAAGGAGAUGAUGUAGUACCUAUUCCUGGUAAGUCCACAUUCUGUAAUUUUCAACAUCCACUUUCCCCUUCUUGAUAGCCCGCAGAUAUUUCAACCAACAAGGCCCUUUCUUUCUCAUUUUGUAGGAACAACAAAGACAAAAAAUCUUGAUGGCAACAUUGAUUCACUGAGGGUGAAGCUCACAGAAGAAGAUUUACAAGAGAUUUGUGAUGUGAUCCCCAUUAAUGAGGUAGGAGGCGCUCGUAUGCCGGAUGGUUUAAGUCAUCUGACGUGGAAGUUUGCUAACACACCACCAAAGGAUAGCAAGAUUUCAACUUAAAUUAAACUGAACGAUGGAUGCAAAAUCUGCAGCAGAAUAUGAUGUUUUUGGUGAAUGGACUCUCUCCAUCAACGGAAACUAUUGAAAGACUAGAAGUUUGUGUUGAUGAGUUAGUAAGCUUUGGAUACAAUAAUAAAGGGUUGUAGUUGGCAUUGUAGCUUUGCCGUUGAAUGCUUAUCAGAGAAAGAAUGCAUUUACUUGUAUUGUUUUUCUGUCUGUGCAUUGUUGGUGGUAAUCCCCAAUGCUUAUAAUUGUCAACGGCAAAGGUUAAGAUGCUGUAUAAGAACUAUGUUUUUAUUUAGUGCUCUAAUAAUAUAAUUCAUCUUGGUCUCAUCUUUUUUCUCAUUUUAACUUAGAUAUCUAUAUAUUUUCGUAAGUGAUUUCUGUAAUAAAUUAAACCCAAAACAUAAACAGGAAAGAUAAAUGUAAAUAAAAAAGGUAAAUUCAAAAAAUAUAUAUACAAUAAAAACAAAAAACAAUUAAAUUUUAUUGACAUGAUUUUUUUUGUAUAUACAACACAAUUGAGAUAAAAUGAACACAACUUUUAUUAUAUAUACGUGACCAAAAAAUCAUGUCAUGACUCAACUUCUCUUAUAUAUAUGGCUCAAUCUAGACUUGUGAUCAACAAAGGACCACAUUAGUAUUUUUAAUAUCUUAGCAUGAUGAUGCAUGUCAUCACAUAAUGAACUUCAUAUCAACAAAUUAUGAUACAUCAAUUUGAUCAAAAUCUCACGUCAAUAUUCUUAACGAUAAAAUUUAAUAGUGUUAAUAUUAAAAAUUUUAAAUUAAUAAAUUAAAAAAGUAUAAUAACUUAAUUUACAUGAAUUAUUAUUCAAGAUUAAAUCCAUAUUGUAUAAUUUUGCAUCUUAGAUUCUUUUUGUUGAAAUGCCAAGUGACAAGCUCCUAUUGAACAAUAACCUUCUACUUCUUGAAACAAAGACGUGAGAAAUGCGUAAUUAAAUGUGUUCCCCAAUGUAGGGAACUUAGGAUUGGGAUAGUUCCAUAUAGCCCUCUUGGUCGCGGUUUCUUUGGUGGCAGGGCGGUUGUGGAGAGUGUGCCUGCAAAUAGUUUUCUGGUAUGGAAACUCAUCAAUUUAUGGCUUUAAUCUACACUCAAUCUUGAUAGCUUGUUUUUCCAUAAAAAAUAAGGGCACCUUUUUGACUGAUUGGCAACUUCUUCUUUAAGAGUAGACAUAUUACCCAAGGUUUCAAGGAGAAAACUUGGACAGAAACAAGAACUUAUAUUUGCAAAUGGAGAAGUUGGCACAAUAUCAUGGAUGUACCCCUGCACAACUAAUUCUUGGCUGGGUUCUUCAUCAAGGGAAUGAUGUAGCACCUAUUCCCGGUUAGUCACAUUCUGUAUGUAUGCUCUUAGAUAGCAGACAAUACAGAUAUUUCAACUACAUCACAUUAGAAUUGACAUAAUUUACAAGUACAUAUCAUAAAUUUGCCUUGUUUGUUAUGUGCAUUAGAAAUAUGACUUUUGACCCUCGGUUACAUGUUCUUGUAGGUACGACCAAGAUCAAAAAUCUUGAUAGCAACAUUGAUUCUCUAACAGUGAAGCUCACAGAAGAAGAUUUAAAGGAGAUCACUGAUGUGGUUCCCAUAAACGAGGUAGCAGGGCCUGGAACGCUGGAUAGUUUUUUUCAGGUCUCAUGGAAAUUCGCUAAUACACCCCCAAAGGAGAAACAAGAUUUUAAGUUAAAGUAAUUAUGGAUGCAAAGCCUGUAGCAAAACAUGAUGCUUUUGGUUAAUGUACUCUCCUGCAACCGAGGCUAUAGAAAGCCUACAAGUUUGUACUGAUUUACUAAGCUUACCUUUAAAAAGGGUUCACUUAUAACCAGGCUACUAGCUGUGCUGUCGAAUGCAUGUGCUUGCUUGGUUUUUCUGUCGUUUCUUAGUUGCCGGCAAUUUUCCAAUGGUUAUUGUAGUUGUUACAACACUGUCUAAGAAGCUAUUUUAAUAAAUAUGCUUUUAUUUAGUGCUAUGAUUUAUUCUUCUUGAUAUUCUUUUUCCUCUCUAUGUAACCUGCUGCAACCAUAAUAACAGAAACCAUUGCAUCUACCGGAAGAAGAAUUUGGCAAAAAAAAAAUAUUUUUUUCAUUGUGACUUCCAUGGUCUGAAGGAAAUAGUAGGAAAUAUAGCAGCUCAUCUUGGCAAUGCAGGGUUAUUUUUUUUAUCUGAUAACAUGACUAUUCUGCAUUUUUGACUAAUUCUUUGCCUUUUGAAAGUAACAGUUCUUGGAACAUAAUUUUCACUGUUUCAACAAAGUAUUCCAAAAGAAUGACAUGUGGGGUGACAUGUUUACUGGCGUCACCAAGUUGAUAGACAAUUCAACUCAAAAUCAAGAUUCUGGAUAUAAGGCUGCUACUAUUUAUGCACAACAAGGACACUUGGCCGUCUAGUAGAUCGUUUAUUAGUUACUGGUUUUUGAGCUGUAAGCUAACAAGAGAAGCCUCAGCUCAAUAACACAACAUAAAAAGGGAACAGAAGAUGGUUGAGGAGCAGAAGAGAAUUCAAAUUCCUAGAAUGAAACUGGGAAAUCAAGGACUUGAGGUUAGAUUUUGUUCUUCUUAAGAGUAGUCAAGAGAAGGGUUGUUAUGAGUUGCAUAUAGAAUGUUUAUGAGGUGAUAAGCCCUGAAUUUUUAUUAAUCUUUACAACCGUUCCUCAGUUUUUGGUUGAACUGCUGAUAUGCAGUAUGUAAGGUACUGGAUAUUCUGAUUCUACUCUCCUAAAAACAUGCUAGGACUCAACUUUUUAAACUCAAUCAGAAUUUAACUUUCCAUCAAGUUCACACGAUUUCUUUCCCAGAACACUAUUUUCUAACACUCUCGUUUCUGAGAAUCCACUGUUUAUGUAGGUUUCCAAGUUGGGGUUUGGCUGCGCGGAACUUUCUGUUGUAGCCUACGGUGAUCCUCUCCCUGAUGAUGUUGGCAUAUCGAUCAUCAAGCAUGCUUUUGAUAGAGGAAUCACUUUCUUCGAUACAUCAGAUAGCUAUGGACCCAAAACUAAUGAAAUACUGGUUGGAAAGGUAACAUGCUUGGUCAAAUUGUCUAAAGUACUUUCAAGUUGAAUUGCAACAGCUUCCUGAUUUUGCUUUUAAAUGGGAAUCCAAACCCUUAAAUAAAUGCAUUUUUGUUUUAUCACAUUGAUAUGAUUCUAAUUGUUACUGCUCUUGAGUUGUUAACGAAAUUCAUGAAUCUCUGAAGCCAAUAUUUCUUUUCUCCAGGCAUUGAAGCAGCUACCGCGAGAGAAGGUGCAGUUAGCCACAAAAUUUGGUAUUGCAAAAAGGGAUGCUACUGGUGUCAUUGUAAAUGGUACUCCUGAAUAUGUCCGCACCUCUGUUGAGGCUAGCCUGAAGCGCCUUGAUGUGGAAUACAUUGAUCUCUACUAUCAGCACAGGGUCGACACCACCACUCCUAUAGAGGAUACUGUAAGAGCUGGAGCAGAAAGCAUCAAAGAUUUAUUUCUUCCAUAGAUUUCCUUAUUUCCAUACUCUCUUAUUAAUUGCGGGGCUAUCAUCUUUAGCUGGUUGAACUUAAGGUUAAGCUAUUUGGAUUUAACUUUCUUUCUUAGAUGGGUGAACUCAAGAAGUUGGUGGAAGAAGGGAAAAUAAAGUACAUUGGUUUAUCUGAAGCUAGCCCCGAAACUAUAAAGAGAGCACAUGCGGCUCAUCCCAUAACUGCUGUACAAAUGGAGUGGUCGCUCUGGACUCGUGACAUUGAGGAAGAAAUAGUCCCCCUUUGCAGGUUUCUUCUUGUAUCUUGAAGCAUUAGAACUAAAAAAACAGUAAAAGUUACUUGAAAUUCAAAGUUCGAACUCUUAACUUGAUAGUCAUUUUCAUUUCCCAAAUUAUACGUUGUUUGAGUACUGGUCUUGAGACUCACCUAUGCAAUCCAAGGCAUGAGAUAUGCCUAUUUAAAUGUCUUCAUUUAUGCAGGCAACUCGGAAUUGGGAUUGUUCCAUACAGCCCUCUUGGUCGUGGUUUCUUUGGUGGCAAAGCAGUUGAUGAAAGUGUGCCUGCAGAUAGUUUUCUGGUAUGGGAACACAUCUAUUAAUGGCUUUAACCUAUCUUUAAUCUUGUAUAAAGACAAGCCUUUCUAACCGGUAGCUUGGUUGACCGAUUGCCAACUUCUACUUUUAAGAGAUUGUUCCCAAGGUUUCAAGGAGAAAACUUUGACAGAAACAAGAUCUUAUAUCUGAAAGUAAAGAAGAUGGCUGAGAAGCAUGGAUGUACCACUGCACAACUUGCACUUGCCUGGGUUCUUCAUCAAGGAAAUGAUGUAGUACCUAUUCCUGGUAAGUCCACAUUCUGUAAUUUUCAACAUCCACUUUCCCCUUCUUGAUAGCCCGCAGAUAUUUCAACCAACAAGGCCCUUUCUUUCUCAUUUUGUAGGAACAACAAAGACAAAAAAUCUUGAUGGCAACAUUGAUUCA
This 4991-nucleotide long non-coding RNA is filed under the name Theobroma cacao (cacao). RNAcentral's name for it is "long non-coding RNA (TCAC_LNC003589)". The record is from RNAcentral. Lineage: Eukaryota; Viridiplantae; Streptophyta; Magnoliopsida; Malvales; Malvaceae.